This is a long non-coding RNA of Panicum virgatum (switchgrass), 906 nucleotides long. RefSeq lists it as uncharacterized. The record is from RefSeq and is a predicted model, not a curated record. The transcript is spliced from 2 exons. NCBI's taxonomy places the organism in Eukaryota, Viridiplantae, Streptophyta, Magnoliopsida, Poales, Poaceae.
AGAAGAUGUAAACGUAGGUGUUGAUGCCAUGGUCGAAGGCCGCCUUGGAGAAGACGAACAUGCCGGUGUAGAUGAGCUGGAUGACGACGGCGAUCGGAAAUCAUUCAGUUGGCUCUUUGUGGAACUGCAACUCUUCUUGUUGCCAACCAAAGCGCAAGGUCUUCAUAUUGGCGGUGACCAAUUUAUUAGCACACGAAAUGUUUUGAGGGAAAAAGAACUUGGCUCUUGGUGACUACAGAUGUGUAGAAACAAUGGCAGUCCACCUGCUACUCUUCUGUGAUUUUGCAUAGCAAUGAAAUCCCGUUAUUCAUGGAGAUCUAUCACCAUCCUAAUCUCUGAUUCUCUGUUUUAGUCCAAGUCACAAGGUUGAUUGAUGCUAGCCAUUUACUAUCUUACACCUACUUGAAAGCCCAAACCCAGCCUACUCAGAAUAUACAAGCGCACGAUGAUCACACUUGUUCAACCGCGAACGGUGCUGCUGCUGCUGCUUCCUUGUUCUCUUCUUUAUUUCCCUCCUCCUGUGAUUCCUCCAAUUUUAUAGCCUCCCUGCUUUUAGCCCAGAGGACGCUGUAAAGGCCGGCAACCAACAGGGCUCCACCCAGAAUGCUGCCAUCAUCAAAUCAAAUGCAAUAAUACAGACAUGGAAAACAAGAACUCUUGUAAACGAAGACCAAUAAGACUGAACAUACAUACAUAGAUACAUCUAUGCAAUUAAUAACAGUUACUAGUUAGUACCUGCCGAGGUGGACAAUCUCUCCGAGAAAGAAAGAGGAGCAGAAGAUAGUGAAGACGAAACAGAGCGGGUUCGACAUUGCUAGAAACACAGGGCCCUUCAUCUCCAUACACCAUGCUUGAAGAUAGUAGGACACCCCCGUCACCACAAACCCCUGUCAGGCGACAACAGAU